CAAUAGCGUAUAUUAAAGUUGUUGCGGUUAAAAAGCUCGUAGUUGGAUUUCUGCCGAGGACGUCCGGUCCGCCCUCUGGGUGAGUACAUGGCACGGCCUGGGCAUCUUCUUGGGGAACGUAUCUGCACUUGACUGUGUGGUGCGGUAUCCAGGACUUUUACUUUGAGGAAAUUAGAGUGUUCACUGCAGGCAUACGCCUUGAAUACGUUAGCAUGGAAUAAUAAGAUAGGACCUCGGUUCUAUUUUUUCGGUUUCUAGAGCUGAGGUAAUGAUUAACAGGGAUAGUUGGGGGCGAUUCGUAUUUAACUGUCAGAGGUGAAAUUCUUGGAUUUAUGGAAGACGAACUACUGCGAAAGCAUUUACCAAGGAUGUUUUCAUUAAUCAAGAACGAAAGUUAGGGG
Molecule: ribosomal RNA, 401 nt
Filed under: uncultured eukaryote
Lineage: Eukaryota
Description: SSU rRNA
Rfam family: Eukaryotic small subunit ribosomal RNA
Source: RNAcentral